Molecule: long non-coding RNA, 526 nt
Organism: Anthonomus grandis grandis
Lineage: Eukaryota; Metazoa; Arthropoda; Insecta; Coleoptera; Curculionidae
Exons: 2
Source: RefSeq, a predicted model, not a curated record
CCCUUAAAUCCAACUUGGUUUAUUUUCAAAUACCGCCAAAUCCAAAUUAGCCAAUCAGAUACUUAGCUAGAUGGUCAUGUGGUCAAAAUUGUAUUCCGUUGAUAUUAUUAUUUUGAAUUGCUGUCAGAAACGUCUCGUUUGCGGUUGACAUCAGUAUGUUUUCAAAGUUUAUUUAAUUUAAAAAAGUAUAAUAAAAGUAAUGUGCGAUAACACGAAAGAAAUCGUCGUAGUAUAUUUUGAUUUAGGCUAGAAAGAGGCAGCGAGCUCCAGAAAAUUGGAAAAGGAAUGCGGAAAAGACCAGAAGAUAUUCUGCUGUAACUCUACCAAAAUACCCAAAAUGUAAACAUUGUACUAAAAGUUAUAGAUGCAGUACUUUGACAAUGUUAGAUAUUAAAAAGUUUCAUAAUGCUUAUUAAAAUUUAAAUUAAAAUUGAAUCGGUUAAUUUGAAUUUAAUUAAAAUUAACUAAAAAUAUUUUAAAUCAUAAUAAUGUAAAAUUUUUUAAAUAAAUUUUUUUAUAAAUUUAA